CGUAGGUGAACCUGCGGAAGGAUCAUUACUGAGUGCGGGCUGCCUCCGGGCGCCCAACCUCCCACCCGUGAAUACCUAACACUGUUGCUUCGGCGGGGAACCCCCUCGGGGGCGAGCCGCCGGGGACUACUGAACUUCAUGCCUGAGAGUGAUGCAGUCUGAGUCUGAAUAUAAAAUCAGUCAAAACUUUCAACAAUGGAUCUCUUGGUUCCGGCAUCGAUGAAGAACGCAGCGAACUGCGAUAAGUAAUGUGAAUUGCAGAAUUCAGUGAAUCAUCGAGUCUUUGAACGCACAUUGCGCCCCCUGGCAUUCCGGGGGGCAUGCCUGUCCGAGCGUCAUUGCUGCCCAUCAAGCCCGGCUUGUGUGUUGGGUCGUCGUCCCCCCCGGGGGACGGGCCCGAAAGGCAGCGGCGGCACCGUGUCCGGUCCUCGAGCGUAUGGGGCUUUGUCACCCGCUCGACUAGGGCCGGCCGGGCGCCAGCCGACGUCUCCAACCAUUUUUCUUCAGGUUGACCUCGGAUCAGGUAGGGAUACCCGCUGAACUUAAGCAUAUCAAUAAGCGGAGGAAAAGAAACCAACCGGGAUUGCCUCAGUAACUGCG
RNAcentral lists this ribosomal RNA (600 nucleotides) under Aspergillus sp. BAB-2568. RNAcentral's name for it is "eukaryotic LSU rRNA". The stretch from base 185 to 338 matches the Rfam family "5.8S ribosomal RNA". Lineage: Eukaryota; Fungi; Ascomycota; Eurotiomycetes; Eurotiales; Aspergillaceae. The record is from RNAcentral.